RNAcentral lists this ribosomal RNA (450 nucleotides) under uncultured bacterium. Its description in RNAcentral is "partial 16S ribosomal RNA". It matches the Rfam family "Bacterial small subunit ribosomal RNA", at positions 354 to 796 of the family's 1533-position model. The record is from RNAcentral.
GUGGGGAAUUUUGGACAAUGGGCGCAAGCCUGAUCCAGCAAUGCCGCGUGCAGGAAGAAGGCCUUCGGGUUGUAAACUGCUUUUGUACGGAACGAAACGGUCCGGGUUAAUACCCUGGGCUAAUGACGGUACCGUAAGAAUAAGCACCGGCUAACUACGUGCCAGCAGCCGCGGUAAUACGUAGGGUGCAAGCGUUAAUCGGCAUUACUGGGCGUAAAGCGUGCGCAGGCGGUUUUGUAAGACAGGCGUGAAAUCCCCGGGCUCAACCUGGGAAUUGCGCUUGUGACUGCAAGGCUGGAGUGCGGCAGAGGGGGAUGGAAUUCCGCGUGUAGCAGUGAAAUGCGUAGAUAUGCGGAGGAACACCGAUGGCGAAGGCAAUCCCCUGGGCCUGCACUGACGCUCAUGCACGAAAGCGUGGGGAGCAAACAGGAUUAGAAACCCUGGUAGUCC